RNAcentral lists this ribosomal RNA (280 nucleotides) under uncultured Staphylococcus sp. RNAcentral describes it as "partial 16S ribosomal RNA". It matches the Rfam family "Bacterial small subunit ribosomal RNA", at positions 83 to 355 of the family's 1533-position model. The record is from RNAcentral. Lineage: Bacteria; Bacillati; Bacillota; Bacilli; Caryophanales; Staphylococcaceae.
CCUUUGACGUUAGCGGCGGACGGGUGAGUAACACGUGGGUAACCUACCUAUAAGACUGGGAUAACUUCGGGAAACCGGAGCUAAUACCGGAUAAUAUUUCGAACCGCAUGGUUCGAUAGUGAAAGGUGGUUUUGCUAUCACUUAUAGAUGGACCCGCGCCGUAUUAGCUAGUUGGUAAGGUAACGGCUUACCAAGGCGACGAUACGUAGCCGACCUGAGAGGGUGAUCGGCCACACUGGAACUGAGACACGGUCCAGACUCCUACGGGAGGGCAGCAGCA